GACGAACGCUGGCGGCGUGCCUAAUACAUGCAAGUAGAACGCACAGUUUAUACCGUAGCUUGCUACACCAUAGACUGUGAGUUGCGAACGGGUGAGUAACGCGUAGGUAACCUGCCUGGUAGCGGGGGAUAACUAUUGGAAACGAUAGCUAAUACCGCAUAAUAUUAAUUAUUGCAUGAUAAUUAAUUUAAAGGUGCAAUUGCACCACUACCAGAUGGACCUGCGUUGUAUUAGCUAGUAGGUGAGGUAACGGCUCACCUAGGCGACGAUACAUAGCCGACCUGAGAGGGUGAUCGGCCACACUGGGACUGAGACACGGCCCAGACUCCUACGGGAGGCAGCAGUAGGGAAUCUUCGGCAAUGGACGAAAGUCUGACCGAGCAACGCCGCGUGAGUGAAGAAGGUUUUCGGAUCGUAAAGCUCUGUUGUAAGAGAAGAACGGGUGUGAGAGUGGAAAGUUCACACUGUGACGGUAUCUUACCAGAAAGGGACGGCUAACUACGUG
RNAcentral lists this ribosomal RNA (505 nucleotides) under uncultured bacterium. RNAcentral describes it as "partial 16S ribosomal RNA". It matches the Rfam family "Bacterial small subunit ribosomal RNA", at positions 28 to 507 of the family's 1533-position model. The record is from RNAcentral.